Non-coding RNA from Trichonephila inaurata madagascariensis, 72 nucleotides. The record is from the annotation of a GenBank genome assembly. Lineage: Eukaryota; Metazoa; Arthropoda; Arachnida; Araneae; Nephilidae.
GUCCCUGUGGCGCAAAGAAAGCGCGUUGGACUUCUAAUCCAAAGGUCGUGGUUUCGAAUACCACCUGGGAUG